This is a long non-coding RNA of Stegodyphus dumicola, 393 nucleotides long. RefSeq lists it as uncharacterized. The record is from RefSeq and is a predicted model, not a curated record. Lineage: Eukaryota; Metazoa; Arthropoda; Arachnida; Araneae; Eresidae.
UUACCUCAUUUAUUCAUAUAUAUUCAAGAAAGUUGUGUAUAUCCAGAAAACCAUGUAUACAGCUAUAAUACAGUGUUUUUUCAUUACUAUAUAUAAGCUUCUACUCAUUUCCAUGCUUCACUGCAAUGCUCGCUUAGUCGCACUUUAAAGCUCUGGUGCCGCUUAAAACAACCUUUACCUCAUGGAACACCCACAGAAUUGAGACGGUUCAAAAGAGUGUGCAUUAAUGGACACAAUGUGAUCUUGUUUGAAAAUGGAUACACAAUAAUGAUGCAAAGUGAAAAAUUAUAACAGUGAUUUAAGUUUUUAAUAUACUAUAUUUGUAACUUGUAUCUUUUAAUUACCUAUCUAACUAAAUAAAGAGCAAUCAGUUCUUUCAAACACUUGCUGAAA